Molecule: small nuclear RNA, 22 nt
Filed under: Arabidopsis thaliana (thale cress)
Lineage: Eukaryota; Viridiplantae; Streptophyta; Magnoliopsida; Brassicales; Brassicaceae
Description: snRNA_08287
Source: RNAcentral
GACAGCAGGACGGUGGUCAUGG